RNAcentral lists this ribosomal RNA (506 nucleotides) under uncultured Verrucomicrobiota bacterium. RNAcentral's name for it is "bacterial SSU rRNA". It matches the Rfam family "Bacterial small subunit ribosomal RNA", at positions 43 to 529 of the family's 1533-position model. Lineage: Bacteria; Pseudomonadati; Verrucomicrobiota. The record is from RNAcentral.
CGUGGAUAANACAUGCAAGUCGAACGGGACAUUAUUUGCAGCAAUGUAAAUGGUGUUCAGUGGCGUAAGGGUGCGUAACACGUGGGGAAUCUGCCGAGAAGUGGGGGAUAGCUCGCCGAAAGGCGAAUUAAUACCGCAUGUGGCCAGGGAAGACAUCUUUCCAAAGCCAAAGCCGGGGCAACCUGGCGCUUCUUGAUGACCCCGCGGCCUAUCAGCUAGUUGGUGAGGUAACGGCUCACCAAGGCUAUGACGGGUAGCUGGUCUGAGAGGACGACCAGCCACACUGGAACUGAGACACGGUCCAGACACCUACGGGUGGCAGCAGUCGAGAAUUUUUCUCAAUGGGGGAAACCCUGAAGGAGCGACGCCGCGUGGAGGAUGAAGGUCUUCGGAUUGUAAACUCCUGUCAUUAGGGAACAAUGGCGCGUGAUUAACUGUCGCGUGUUUGAUAGUACCUGAAGANGAAGANACGGCUAACUCUGUGCCAGCAGCCGCGGUAAUACAGA